GAGUAAAGAAGAGAGAGAAAGAAGAAGAAAGGAAAAGAGGAAGAAAAAGAAAGAAGAACAAGGGGAAGUUGACCGCAGAGCUUCACCAGAGCUAGGUCUUGGUAUUUCGAGCCUGGAUUUAUGAUCAGCUUGCCGAGGUCUUUGAUUUGAGAUGAUGAUGCAGGUACCGUAGUACUGAUGGGAUGCGACUCUACCUCGGCACCUGAGUACGGAGUGACUGACUGGUGGAUGCUAGAAGUGGAAGAGCAUGAUCAGGACUGCACAUGCGACACCUGUGCUUUUGCUGCACCUUGAGUGGUUGGGUGUCAUUUUGUGUUAUUCUAAUACCGAAUUGUGAAUGGUAUUCUUUUUGGCUUAUUAUUUAUAAGUCGUGGAUAUUUGUAAACGAAUAACUUGGUUAUGAAUAUAUAGUAUCAUUUAGAUGAUACCCCACUUUAAGAA
Long non-coding RNA from Macadamia integrifolia, 441 nucleotides. RefSeq lists it as uncharacterized. Lineage: Eukaryota; Viridiplantae; Streptophyta; Magnoliopsida; Proteales; Proteaceae. The record is from RefSeq and is a predicted model, not a curated record. The transcript is spliced from 2 exons.